AGAGUUUGAUCAUGGCUCAGAUUGAACGCUGGCGGCAGGCCUAACACAUGCAAGUCGAACGGUAACAGGAAGAAGCUUGCUUCUUUGCUGACGAGUGGCGGACGGGUGAGUAAUGUCUGGGAAACUGCCUGAUGGAGGGGGAUAACUACUGGAAACGGUAGCUAAUACCGCAUAACGUCGCAAGACCAAAGAGGGGGACCUUCGGGCCUCUUGCCAUCGGAUGUGCCCAGAUGGGAUUAGCUAGUAGGUGGGGUAACGGCUCACCUAGGCGACGAUCCCUAGCUGGUCUGAGAGGAUGACCAGCCACACUGGAACUGAGACACGGUCCAGACUCCUACGGGAGGCAGCAGUGGGGAAUAUUGCACAAUGGGCGCAAGCCUGAUGCAGCCAUGCCGCGUGUAUGAAGAAGGCCUUCGGGUUGUAAAGUACUUUCAGCGGGGAGGAAGGGAGUAAAGUUAAUACCUUUGCUCAUUGACGUUACCCGCAGAAGAAGCACCGGCUAACUCCGUGCCAGCAGCCGCGGUAAUACGGAGGGUGCAAGCGUUAAUCGGAAUUACUGGGCGUAAAGCGCACGCAGGCGGUUUGUUAAGUCAGAUGUGAAAUCCCCGGGCUCAACCUGGGAACUGCAUCUGAUACUGGCAAGCUUGAGUCUCGUAGAGGGGGGUAGAAUUCCAGGUGUAGCGGUGAAAUGCGUAGAGAUCUGGAGGAAUACCGGUGGCGAAGGCGGCCCCCUGGACGAAGACUGACGCUCAGGUGCGAAAGCGUGGGGAGCAAACAGGAUUAGAUACCCUGGUAGUCCACGCCGUAAACGAUGUCGACUUGGAGGUUGUGCCCUUGAGGCGUGGCUUCCGGAGCUAACGCGUUAAGUCGACCGCCUGGGGAGUACGGCCGCAAGGUUAAAACUCAAAUGAAUUGACGGGGGCCCGCACAAGCGGUGGAGCAUGUGGUUUAAUUCGAUGCAACGCGAAGAACCUUACCUGGUCUUGACAUCCACAGAACUUUCCAGAGAUGGAUUGGUGCCUUCGGGAACUGUGAGACAGGUGCUGCAUGGCUGUCGUCAGCUCGUGUUGUGAAAUGUUGGGUUAAGUCCCGCAACGAGCGCAACCCUUAUCCUUUGUUGCCAGCGGUCCGGCCGGGAACUCAAAGGAGACUGCCAGUGAUAAACUGGAG
This 1170-nucleotide ribosomal RNA is filed under the name Escherichia coli O157:H7. RNAcentral describes it as "bacterial SSU rRNA". It matches the Rfam family "Bacterial small subunit ribosomal RNA", at positions 8 to 1168 of the family's 1533-position model. The record is from RNAcentral. Lineage: Bacteria; Pseudomonadati; Pseudomonadota; Gammaproteobacteria; Enterobacterales; Enterobacteriaceae.